RNAcentral lists this ribosomal RNA (669 nucleotides) under uncultured fungus. RNAcentral's name for it is "eukaryotic LSU rRNA". The stretch from base 262 to 416 matches the Rfam family "5.8S ribosomal RNA". Lineage: Eukaryota; Fungi. The record is from RNAcentral.
CUUGGUCAUUUAGAGGAGUAAAGUCGUAACAAGGUUUCCGUAGGUGAACCUGCGGAAGGAUCAUUAUCGAAAUUAUUGGUGAGGGUUGUAGCUGGCCUUUCGAGGCAUGUGCACGCUCGAGCCCUUAAUCCACUUUACACCUGUGCACUUAAUGUAGGUCGCCCUUAAAAAAGGUGACCUAUGUCUUAUCAUCAACCCAUCGUAUGUCUCAUAGAAUGUAAUCGAUAUCCUCGCCCUAAAAAAGCGUUGAUAAACUUAUACAACUUUCAACAACGGAUCUCUUGGCUCUCGCAUCGAUGAAGAACGCAGCGAAAUGCGAUAAGUAAUGUGAAUUGCAGAUUUUCAGUGAAUCAUCGAAUCUUUGAACGCACCUUGCGCUCCUUGGUAUUCCGAGGAGCAUGCCUGUUUGAGUGUCAUUAAAUUCUCAACUCCAAGGGUUUCACGACCUUUCGGAGAUUGGACUUGGAGGUGCUGGCCGCAUAUUGGUCGGCUCCUCUCAAAUGCAUCAGCGGAAUCUAACGUUUCGGACGUCAGUGUGAUAAUCACGUUGCGCUGUCAACCGAUCCUGAAAGGCCCGCUCAUAAUGGUCUUCGGACAACUUCAUAUCAAAUUUGACCUCAAAUCACGUAGGACUACCCGCUGAACUUAAGCAUAUCAAUAAGCGGAGGA